GAAAGGUGAUAGGAUGGGCUCCACAAGUGGCUGUCUUGGCUCAUCCAUCCGUCGGAGGAUUUAUUUCACAUUGUGGAUGGAAUUCUAUACUGGAAAGCACAUGGUUUGGUGUCCCAAUUGCCACAUGGCCAAUGAAUGCAGAACAACAGUUUAAUGCAUUUGAAAUGGUGAUAGAGUUGGAAUUAGCAGCAGAAAUUAAAAUCGAUUAUAG
This 211-nucleotide unclassified non-coding RNA is filed under the name Hevea brasiliensis (rubber tree). Lineage: Eukaryota; Viridiplantae; Streptophyta; Magnoliopsida; Malpighiales; Euphorbiaceae. The record is from RNAcentral.